UAGGGAAUUGAAUACAAUGGGGGAAACCCUGAUCGAAAAAAGCCGCGUGAACGAAAAAGCAAUUAGGUGUAUAAAGUUAAAUUUAUUGGAAAAAUAAUUAAUUAGGUAAGUCAUUAGAAUGCAGUACGAUGAAAAGGUUGUUCGCC
RNAcentral lists this ribosomal RNA (146 nucleotides) under uncultured bacterium. RNAcentral's name for it is "partial 16S ribosomal RNA". The record is from RNAcentral.